This is a long non-coding RNA of Homo sapiens (human), 367 nucleotides long. RefSeq lists it as uncharacterized. The transcript is spliced from 3 exons. NCBI's taxonomy places the organism in Eukaryota, Metazoa, Chordata, Mammalia, Primates, Hominidae. The record is from RefSeq and is a predicted model, not a curated record.
AGGCCUGAUUUUUUCUAACCAGUUUAUACAAAUGACAACUGCGGUCCCAUCCACUCCAAUCUGUGGAUUUGGUGAACAUGAACAUCUAUCCUUUAAGCAUGACAUGAAUUUUGUUAAAUAUGGAAUGUUUUCCAGAGCUCACUCACCAACGGUAAUAUCCAUUUAGCAAUCUCUAUGGAGUUCAUCCUUUAUAUAAUUGCAUAGAGAAUGAUUUUAAUGCUCAUGGUGUUCUUCUCCUGAAUUCCAAUGCCCAAGAAACCACUCUUAGCCCAUAUCCUUCUUUAACAUUCCGGACUAUUGGAGGAAUUCUUGACUUCAACAUGUUUCUGGACCCCACUCCUGAAAAUGUCCAGCAAUACACAGAGAU